UUUGGAGACUGGAGGACAUUCGCGUGGGCCUGGCUGACACCGCGUGCUCAUCCACGUCAUGGGGCCCCGUGGGUUCUUCCCAGGGGAGCCCGCACACCUGUGCUGAUGGCAGCAGUCAUGGAGCUGCAUCUGGGUGAGGAGCCCGGGAGUGGCCACGUGUGUGUGAGCUCCCGUCGGCGUGAAUGGGGACACUGGUGGGUGCCCCUGUCUACCUGUCCUGUCCCUGCUCAGUGUUGGCCUCCUUGUGGAGUGGGGCCCCAUCGGUGGCUUUUCAGAUGAAUCAAGGACGCUCCAGGCAGAGCCGCUGUCACUCCAGGCAGAGCCCCCGUCUUCGAGGAGCUGCCCCUCCUCAGAUGACAGGUGUCUCCCGUUUCAGGAAACCGAUUUGCCCCUGGUCCGCCCGUCAUGAUGGGGAGGGCGGGGUUUGCUCCCCGGGAUGAGGAUGCCGGUCAG
Molecule: long non-coding RNA, 453 nt
Filed under: Aotus nancymaae (Ma's night monkey)
Lineage: Eukaryota; Metazoa; Chordata; Mammalia; Primates; Aotidae
Description: lncRNA (ENSANAG00000039475.1)
Source: RNAcentral